UGCUAGGGGCUUUUUCGUGUUCGCUGCGGUAGCCUAUUACGUGUUGCAGCGUACAUGUAUUUGUUCGGUGCAACAGGUCUGGAUAAUUUUUUUGUUUGCUUAUAAUUCAUUAACACCAAGCCAGUCGCGUUUCACUUUGAAAAAAUUUAGCAAGCUUUCACCUUCUUCCUCCCUUCUUCGAUCUUUAAUGGGAUGCCAAAGAAAAAUUUCGAUCUUCGAUCUUCUUCGAUGGACUACCAGUAAUCUUGUCCCGCUCCUCAGCUCUCUUCUUUAUUCACCUUCCCCCUUCUUCUUCCCCUCUGCGUUUUGGAACCUGGUCCGACUACCAGCCUGCCGUAAUUUUUGCAGACCUAGCUUGCCGGGAUUUUACAAGCAGACCUAGCACGACGGCGCCGUUCCCUUCUCUUGUCGAGAUUUUUAGAAUUAAGUUUAGGAAAUUAGGGUUUGUGAAUUUGAAUUUGGGGAUUUUGGAGUUAGGGCUUUUCGUAUUGGCGGCAGAGCACCACUCGGAACCACUCCACAACAGCGGCAUGAGUGACUGACGACAGCCCGCAGUGGUGGUCGACGGAGCAAGCUAGGUCUAUUACAGGUUGCAUUGCACGUUGAGUACCACCACAAUAUGUUGACAUCACACCAGAAAGGGAACCCAAAGGAAGUAAUUGUUGGAUGGUAUUCAACCGGAUUUGGUGUUACGAGAGGUUCUGCUUUGAUCCAUGAAUUCUACUUUAGAGAGGUUGCAAAUCUUUUCCAUGUACCAGUGGACACUACAUUCAGAAAUGGAGAGGCAACCAUAAAAGCCUUUGUCUCUGUUAAUUUAUCUCUUGGAGACCAGUCACUUGCUGCUCAAUUUCAGAAAAUUCCUGCAGAACUUCCAAUGUCAGAAGUAGAGAGGGUUGAAUGUAGGCACUUAACCCUAGUUCUCUUGAUUAAUUAACCCUGCUAAAUUUGAAAAAUACUCCAGUAGUCUUGUGGGUCCUAUAUUUUAAGCUCUUAAUUGCUUCUUGCCGGUUAGAUUGUUGCAUCUACAUGGGUCUUAUCAACUUGAUCAACUCAUCAUGUGUGAGGUCUAUACUCUGAGGAAUGCGCCUUAUGCUAGUGAGGAAAUUGAUGUGGUUCGUGAGCAAUGGGCUAGUUUUUUACCAGCAAAUAUUUAUUAUUGGCCUGAGCGCGCUUGAUCGAGUUGGUUUAGAUGUUAUAGAACAAUGUUUUAUAUUAAAAUGUAUGCGUACGUUGAAAUUGGAGCAUAUAUUUAAAUGUACGUGCACUUUGGUUUCAUGUAUACAAAACAACAAUUAUUGUUUUUAUAUUUGUUAUACAGGUUGCGAUAUUCUAUUA
Spinacia oleracea (spinach) is the source of this 1335-nucleotide RNA transcript. It is a transcript of the gene named eukaryotic translation initiation factor 3 subunit F-like, with no coding region annotated. The transcript is spliced from 4 exons. NCBI's taxonomy places the organism in Eukaryota, Viridiplantae, Streptophyta, Magnoliopsida, Caryophyllales, Amaranthaceae. The record is from RefSeq and is a predicted model, not a curated record.